Molecule: ribosomal RNA, 660 nt
Filed under: uncultured Bacillota bacterium
Lineage: Bacteria; Bacillati; Bacillota
Description: bacterial SSU rRNA
Rfam family: Bacterial small subunit ribosomal RNA
Source: RNAcentral
AGAGUUGUAUCCUGGCUCAGGACGAACGCUGGCGGCGUGCUUAACACAUGCAAGUCGAGCGAUGAAGUUCCUUCGGGAAUGGAUUAGCGGCGGACGGGUGAGUAACACGUGGGUAACCUGCCUCAUAGAGGGGAAUAGCCUUCCGAAAGGAAGAUUAAUACCGCAUAAGAUUGUAGUUUCGCAUGAAACAGCAAUUAAAGGAGUAAUCCGCUAUGAGAUGGACCCGCGUCGCAUUAGCUAGUUGGUGAGGUAACGGCUCACCAAGGCGACGAUGCGUAGCCGACCUGAGAGGGUGAUCGGCCACAUUGGGACUGAGACACGGCCCAGACUCCUACGGGAGGCAGCAGUGGGGAAUAUUGCACAAUGGGGGAAACCCUGAUGCAGCAACGCCGCGUGAGUGAUGACGGUCUUCGGAUUGUAAAACUCUGUCUUCAGGGACGAUAAUGACGGUACCUGAGGAGGAAGCCACGGCUAACUACGUGCCAGCAGCCGCGGUAAUACGUAGGUGGCAAGCGUUGUCCGGAUUUACUGGGCGUAAAGGGAGCGUAGGUGGAUAUUUAAGUGGGAUGUGAAAUACUCGGGCUUAACCUGAGUGCUGCAUUCCAAACUGGAUAUCUAGAGUGCAGGAGAGGAAAGUAGAAUUCCUAGUGUAGCGGUGAA